Molecule: ribosomal RNA, 509 nt
Filed under: uncultured bacterium
Lineage: Bacteria
Description: bacterial SSU rRNA
Rfam family: Bacterial small subunit ribosomal RNA
Source: RNAcentral
CUGGGUUAAAUCCCGGUUGCAAGGCGUAGAGAUACGUCCCCCUCGCAAGAGGCGGCUGGGAAGGUGCUGCAUGGCUGUCGUCAGCUCGUGUCGUGAGAUGUUGGGUUAAGUCCCGCAACGAGCGCAACCCUUACCACUAGUUGCCAGCGAUUCGGUCGGGCACUCUAGCGGAACUGCCGGUGAUAAACCGGAGGAAGGUGGGGAUGACGUCAAGUCAUCAUGGCCUCUAUGUCCAGGGCUACACACGUGCUACAAUGGCAGGUACAAACCGUAGCAAACCCGCGAGGGGGAGCCAAUCGGAAAAAGCCUGUCUCAGUUCGGAUUGCAGUCUGCAACUCGACUGCAUGAAGUUGGAAUCGCUAGUAAUCGCAGAUCAGCACGCUGCGGUGAAUACGUUCCCGGGUCUUGUACACACCGCCCGUCACACCACGAAAGUGGGCUGUACUAGAAGUGGCCGGGCUAACCCGCAAGGGAGGCAGGUCACGACGGUAUGGUUCAUGAUUGGGGUG